Molecule: ribosomal RNA, 497 nt
Filed under: uncultured bacterium
Lineage: Bacteria
Description: partial 16S ribosomal RNA
Rfam family: Bacterial small subunit ribosomal RNA
Source: RNAcentral
GAUGAACGCUGGCGGCGUGCCUAAUACAUGCAAGUCGAGCGAACGGACGAGAAGCUUGCUUCUCUGAUGUUAGCGGCGGACGGGUGAGUAACACGUGGAUAACCUACCUAUAAGACUGGGAUAACUUCGGGAAACCGGAGCUAAUACCGGAUAAUAUUUUGAACCGCAUGGUUCAAAAGUGAAAGACGGUCUUGCUGUCACUUAUAGAUGGAUCCGCGCUGCAUUAGCUAGUUGGUAAGGUAACGGCUUACCAAGGCAACGAUGCAUAGACGACCUGAGAGGGUGAUCGGCCACACGGGAACUUAGACACGGUCCAGACUCCUACGGGAGGCAGCAGUAGGGAAUCUUCCGCAAUGGGCGAAAGCCUGACGGAGCAACGCCGCGUGAGUGAUGAAGGUCUUCGGAUCGUAAAACUCUGUUAUUAGGGAAGAACAUAUGUGUAAGUAACUGUGCACAUCUUGACGGUACCUAAUCAGAAAGCCACGGCUAACUACGUG